This is a non-coding RNA of Nipponia nippon (crested ibis), 47 nucleotides long. The record is from Rfam. NCBI's taxonomy places the organism in Eukaryota, Metazoa, Chordata, Aves, Pelecaniformes, Threskiornithidae.
CCAAAGGCUCUUUUAAGAGCCACCCAUCUUUUCAAUAAAGGGGCUGU